This is a long non-coding RNA of Lycium barbarum (goji berry), 2352 nucleotides long. RefSeq lists it as uncharacterized. The record is from RefSeq and is a predicted model, not a curated record. The transcript has 5 exons. Lineage: Eukaryota; Viridiplantae; Streptophyta; Magnoliopsida; Solanales; Solanaceae.
AAUUUUGUAUAAAUAAUAAAUGGGAAACAUUUAAUUAAAAAAAAAAAACUAAUUGUGGUCGAAAAUUGGACCACAUUUAGACCAGAUCUGAUCUUUAAUUUUCAUUUCAAGGUUUCUUCUUUCUCUCUCUUUCCUCUAUCCCUCUCCUCUCUCUACCCACACACACCACCUCUCUCCCUCUCCUCUCUACCCACACCACCACCCCACCAGCCCAGACGCUCAACCCACUGCCUUUCCAACCACCGCCAGACCACCGUCAGCGGCGAAGCUAAUUAUUUUCAGGAGGUCUAGAGGGGUCAGGCAUGUUACACCCCAGAAAAUUUCGCGUUACUAAGGCUGCAGAUGGCUUAUUAUGAGCUCAAGGAGGAGCAAAUAUUAUAAGUAUAAAUGAUGAAAUUCUACUGUAUUAGCAUGAGGACAACAUGAGUAUGAUAUUUGGAAUGAUACGUUAAAAGAUAUAUAGCCCUCAUAACCGUAAGUUGAGACGGGGCCCACAUGAUGGGGUUUUUAUAAAGGACAUAUGACAAGUUAUAUGGACAAUAUAUGUGAAGUUAAACAAGCCUCAAGAAGGACCCUUGAGCCAAAUCCAAGUGUAAGCCCUCCAAAAAGAUGUUUUUAAGUUACGUUUUUGGGUGAUCUGACUUCGGGAGGCCAUAACCCCAUCAUUAUUUGGGAAUUUGGGAAAACUCUAAAUACUGAACUUGUAGAUAAUUGCAUUAGAUUUCCAACCAUAGGUCGUGGGCCUUCACACGACAUAGGGAUAAACGGUUAUGGACAUUUUAAGGCAGAAAGGUCAAGCUGGGCAGUGGGCUCGGCCCAACCCGACUCAAUGUCGGUGGGAACCGACCCAAGACCCCUAUAUAAGGGUGAAAUUCGUGCAAUUUUUUGACAUUUAACCCCAAAAAGAGCUGAACCUUUUAGAGAGAGAGAGAGAGGAGAGUUAGAGAGAGAAAGUGGAGAAUCGAUCAAGUUCGAGGUCCCGAAUCUCGAGGCUCGUGAAGGAUAAAGUGUAGUACGAGUUGUCGUCAUCGUUUCAAGCUAAAUAUUGAUCUUGGGGGAUGAUAUUUUCGUGGUUGAGCUGCUUCUAAGAUUAGCAUGACUCGAAGAUGGGAUGUGGUUAGCUGGAAAACGGCAAAGCCCGAGAUUGUUUGCAGGUUAAGUGUAUAGCUAGGAUGCUUGGACGUCAGUUGGGAUUGGCAAGUUCCACCUCAUUCUGGAGCUGUGCUGAGUCAUGUAUCGAUAUGUAUGAUUAUGGGUAUGUCAGGGCCCUGUCCUGACUCAUAAUGUUCAGUUUACUUCUUAGAGACUUCUGCAGACAGUGUCCUGUGGUAUGUUUGUCGAGAUGUCGACAAAGUGGUGUCAGUUGAGUCAUUUGUGGAUUUUAAAAGAGUAUGAAUUUUAGAUGACUUCAAUUGGUUUAAAGUACUUAUUUGAUUAAAAGUUUUCAUAAUCGUUAUAAAGAUAAUAAUUUCUAUUUGGAAAAGUUUUAUAUUCUUAAAAGUUUUUGAAAUGAUAGGAUUUGAUAGAGUGAAUGUCUAAGGGUUCGCUCAACUCUGAUGAGAGUCGGGUGCCCGUCAUGCCCUAACACUGUUAGGGUGUGACAAGGCAGUACCUCAAGAUGAGAUCUUCAAGAUUACUCACACAAGGAAGGAAAAGAACGCCAAUGGUACAUACCGAUGAGUUGAGCCAAGGGCUGAGCGAACUUGGAACGAAUUUCAACAACACUUUGGGGAGUUUUGAGCCACUCAGCCAAGUAGCACGCCGAUUACCGACGACUUAAUAUAGCAACAGUGGAUUGAGAAGGUUGCUCCCCCAACAAGGCAUAGGACAGUUUAUGGGAUGGCUAAUCGAGCCUUUCGUCGAUACCCGUGUGCCCUUGAAGCCGUAGGUGUUACUGAUGAUAGGGCAGUUGAUCCUAAGGAGCAUGAAGCUAUGAAGCAUCAAGUUGACCUGCUAACAAGAACACUUAAUUCCUCGGAGGCCAGGAUGUUGGGUAUGAAAGCCUAGAUUAAUAGCUUACUUAAUUCGCGGCCGUUUCCGAUUCCCCUAUGUCCUGGGAUGCUCGUAGGUCACAUCCCCUAGCCAACCCCGACCUUCCCAAGGUAGACUACGUAGGUCACAAGCUGACAUAAAUCAUGCUCUUGUCGAUGAGUCUAGUGGGGAGGAUACAGAUCAUGUCUCUAACACCGAACGUUGAUCUUUUUUAUUAGUGUGCUUUUGGAUUCUAAUUCUGCUAUGUUUAAAUGGAUAUGUAUAUUAUGUUUAAGGGUUUGAAUGUAGUUUUAAUUUGAACUAGAAGUACUUUUAAUUUUAAGAUGUGUAAGUGUUUGAAUGUAGUUUAUGAUGUUUAAG